This 68-nucleotide transfer RNA is filed under the name Cichlidarus nyanzae. RNAcentral's name for it is "tRNA-Glu". Lineage: Eukaryota; Metazoa; Platyhelminthes; Monogenea; Gyrodactylidea; Gyrodactylidae. The record is from RNAcentral.
AUUAUAUUAAUGUAUUUAGGCAUAUAAACUUUUCGUGUUUAAAGAAGCUUUUUAUUAGCUAUAUAAUU